GUCAAGGCUGAGGACGUCUCCCUUGAAUGGUGCUUCCGUACUUGUGGGAGGAACAUGGCCAACGUCCAGCAUGGAAAGCAGGGAGAAGGUGGAGAGGCAGACAUCGCACCGACAUUGGAUCUGGGACUGGAAUGGAAGAGACUGGGAAGCUGCUACUCAGGCUGAAGUGUCAAAUGUCGGCAACAACACAACACAACAUGUGGACCCAGAAUAUUAAAGUCAUGCAGGGCCAGGGGCAUCGCUGGAGACCAGGAAGGAAAAGGGCUGACAAGACAGAGUGUACGCAAUGCCAGCCAUAUAUGUCUUCUGAAGCACAACCUGAGGAAGUUUCCUGUUAUGGCUGCCUUGCAGGACACAGGUGAAUCUGCUGGACCCCAUGUGCUGCGCUGCUCCGGCUGAACCAGACUCCGGGCUUACCGUCUGCUGCCUUGGGGACUCUGCUCGAUGCCAGUGUGGAGUAUGGAGACCAAAACCACAGCCUUGAGAGGAUAUCACAUCACACAUUCUGUGGUUCUGUCACCACACAGUGUUAGCUCCAGGAGAACUGCUGCAUGACUCCAGGACUCCUUGUUGGAGAGAACCCCUGCCUCAGAAGUGUCAGUGUUAAGCAAUGGUUAAAGGCUGUAUGUAAGUCACCAAGUACUGGCUCAGGGUAUACCAAGAAUACUGUGACAAAGUGCUGUAGCACGAAUCCUAAUUGGCUUUAAUAAUAACCUGGAGUCAGAUAUCAGGGUAAAUGCUGAAAGAUCAGUAAAGGAGCCAGUCACUAGAGAGACUUCUUACCUCUACGGAAUCCUCAGCCUGAAAGGGGGCUGAGCCCCUGCCUCCUCCCACCUUAUAUUUCUCUCUCUGCCCAGCCAUAUCACUUCCUGUCUCUCUCUCUCUAGUGCUGGGCUUAAAGGCAUGAGAUCCCAAGUGCUGGGAUCAAAUGUGUGAGCCACCACUGCCUGGCUGUUUCUCUUUUAGACUGGAUCAAUCUUGUGUAGCCCAGGGUGGCCUUGAACUCCUGAUCUUCCUGCUUCCUCCUUACAAAUGCUGGGAUGAAAGGUGUGUGCCACCACUGCCUGGCCUCUAGCUCUGCACUCUGAUCUCCAGGUGAGCUUUAUUUGUGAGAGCACAAACAAAAUAUCACCAUAAAGUACUUUCCUUCAGAAAGCUUGGACAAACAGAGGUGACCCUGUCCUUACUGUUCAGAAAGGUAUCCCUGUGACUCAACCUUUGGAGUGUGCCACUGUCUCAACCCACACAAGAGGACAGGGUUCUGAAGGGGCUUCCCUGUCUGCUCUUCAGCUAGUGCGUUGGCCACAUUUUCAACUGUCCCCACAAGUUUGUGUCUCUUCUCAUCACUGUUUUUACAUUUAACAUUUAAACCAGACACUUAAUUGUUACCAUUUUGAUUUUGUUAUUUUUAAGGGAUCUCUCUCUCCUCUCUCUCUCUCUCUCUCUCUCUCUCUCUCUCUCUCUCUCUCUCUCCCUCUUCCCCCACUCUCUGUGUGUAUCUGUUUAUCAUACUGUUAAACAAGCUCGUGACUUACUAUUUUUUUAAACGUAUGCCCCCCCAUCUUAAAUGUUCAUCAGCCAUGCUUUUAUUUUUCUAAUUGACAGUGGUUCCGGGAGUAAGUAUGUCAUCAGCUCUUGCUGUAGAUGGAGCAGAAUCCUGGCAUCCCUGACUGUACUGACUUUCUGUGGUGUUCACCGUUACCCUUUUACACUAAACACAGCAACUCAAGGCAGUUGUGAGAGAAACCUGAGUUUACCAGGACACAAGGACAAAGGCCAGAUUCCAGCCCAGAUAAGUGUGCACAGGUGUCCCAUCAGGGACUGCGCAUUGGGCAGAUAUCGUAUCUUACAAGAGUCAGCUGAAGAGGAAAGUUGGAGGGAUGUGGAAAGAAAUUGGGACACUCAGUUUUCUCGGUAAAUAAUGCUGGUUCUCCUGAAGAACUCAUGACUGGUCAAAGUGCAGAGAAUGAGUGACCGUGGAGUGUUCGGCUCUCAACGGAACGUCCACAUCACUUCCCUCCCCUCACAGGCUCUGGGAACAGUGUGAGAAGAGAGGUCAGGACAGAGUCUUCUGGACCUCACACGGCCGGCCGGCCGGGGAACUCUGAACUCGGAGCAGCUGCUGUUGCCCGCACGCAGAUCAAGCCGGUCGACAGAGAUGCAGAGCGGCUCCUGAGUCCUGCUUCUAGCUGUGGAGAUUUUGCCAGUUGCUGGAGAGUUUUCUUCAGGGGUGUGGGCUCUAGUAGGGCGCCCAUCCUCCAUGGAUAGCUCCACAGCCCUGCAGUGAUGGGCCGCACUAACUGGAGUCAGUGUUUUCUUGUUGUUUUGUUUUUUAAUGGAAGACAAGAAGUCGUGGAAGGCAGAUGUGGCAGGGAAGGGGACCCACACGGUUCAGAUACAUUGAAUAUGUAGCAAAUCCUCAAAUAAUAAAAUAACUUUAUGUGGUUAA
Molecule: long non-coding RNA, 2449 nt
Organism: Peromyscus californicus insignis
Lineage: Eukaryota; Metazoa; Chordata; Mammalia; Rodentia; Cricetidae
Exons: 3
Source: RefSeq, a predicted model, not a curated record